AAAGUUCAUAUAUAUAAAAAAUUUAUAAAAAUUUGAAAAAGAUUCAUGUUUAUUUUUACAGUUUUAAUGAGAAAUUUACACUGUUAUGGUUAAUUUUUAUGUGAACCAAAUCUUCCCAUUCUCCGAUGCCUUUUCCCCUUAAAUCCCCACUUUAAGGGGAUAGGUGAAAUUAUCAAAUUAAGUGAAGUUAUAUGUUAGAAAGCUGCACAUGGCUUUUGGACUGUAAGUAUUGUAUUUCAGGUCUAUUACUGCAUUCCAUUACAUUUCAUAACUUGUUAGGGAGAAUGUGUUUGAUAAAAUAAAAUUUUCAAACAACUAAGAAAUGAUUGAUUUGAGUGACUGACAAUUUGAGUCACAUAUAAAAUAUGCAAGUAAGGUUGAGUUCUUAAUGUCCCCUAUAAUGGGCUGUAAAGGCAAUGAGUAUCUUGUAACUUUAGGUUAAUUGUACACAGUGAGAAGACUUUAAAUAUCUUAGAUGUAAGAUUUUCCUGUUUGUUACUCUUUUUUGGGGGGAGUGGUGCUGGGGAUCGAACUCAGGACCUUGCGCUUGCCAGGAAGGUGUGGUGCCACUGAGCUACAUCCCCGGCCCUGUUACUCUUUUAUGAUUAAAAAUCCCAAAAUUUUGCCAUCUUAUUUUUUAGCUACAUGAGCUUUACAAUUUCACUUGAUCAUUUAGUUCCUACCUAAAAGGCUUUGACUUUAACUAGCUUCUCUUAACUGGCAUUUUGAAAAUUUGACAGUAGUUAUAUUUAUUCAUGCUUUACAUUUUUAAUCCCUUUUUAUGUGCCCACACACACAGUUGUUCUCGUGAAGGUUUGGAGGAAAGGCAAUAGUACCUUUUUUCCUUUUCUUUUGAUUUCUUAGUUUCCAAAUGACUGACACUAAUCAUUUAGUCAUCUGUAAGCUGUGGAACUUAUUCUCGACAAUGAGAAAUUUUAAGUUAUCUGUUCCAUAAUUAAGUGAAAGUAACCUGUUUUGGAAAAAGAUAGCCUUUUGAUUCUUGUUUCAUAAUCAUUACAUGCAUAUUUAUGGUUUACAAAGACUCGGUAGAGAAAGGUCAAGUCCGGAAAGCAUCUCCAUGCCAGUGCUUUACAGUACUGUGCUGUGUAUCAGCUCAGGUGUCCACGGAACAGGAAUGUAGAAAGCUAGCCCUUAACUUUAAUCGCACUUUUAUGCUUCAUUUUUCUUCCUAUCAAAUCUUUUGCACUACAUAUAAAAUAAAAUUAUUACUUGAUUUCCCUUCUUUUGGAUCUGUAAUAUUUUCAAAAGCAGCUAGUUAGCACCUGUAUGCUAAUAUUACUUAAUGUAUUUCUGCAUAUUUCAUUUUUUAAAAAAUCUUCUGCCUUGUUGAGACAGUGGAAUAUUUCUUGAUGGAUGUAAGGACCAAAGGAGCCAUUUUUCCAGUUAAGCAAGUAUUAUGGCAAAGGACCAAAUGAUUAAAAGGGUGCAUUUAUUUAGCUUCUCCGUGUGAAGUAUCGCCUUGGUGGGUUCAGUACUGCCUGUAUUACCAUUCAUCUUCAUACUGGGCGAAGCAAACUAGAAGAGAACGCAUCACAUUUUCCCCUUAUCCGAAGAGAAAAAAAUGAUAAAAUGAAUGAUCAUCUGAAUUUUAAUUUUCAGUAAGUAGCUGAAAAAUCUUGUCUGUUGGACAUAUGAGGCUACUGCCUAGUUAAAAUACCUAACAUUCCGUGAAUGCCAGUAAAAAAGAAGUAGUCUGGCAAUAAUUUCAAAAUUUUCCUAAGUUCUGAUUUUCAAUUACAAAGAAAAAGUGGGUAGAAUGUGGCUGUUCAAGGAAUUCUUACACUCCCCCUUCAAUCUGGCAGGCAAUAAACAGAGUUCUAGAAUUCAGGCUUCCUUUUUGAUUUCAUUACUAUUAAAUACUAUUAAAUACUUUCAUAUGAAUGGUAACAUUUUUCCUCAAAAUAUUAAUUCAAAACAUACUCCUUAUAUUAAGGAUUAUGUAAUGAAAUUUUUGUAAAUUUCCUGUGUGUAACAUUUUCCUGUUGGUAUGUGAUCCUUUUCAUCUAAUUUGAUUAUCUGCUGGUGUUGGGGCCAAUAGAUUUGUGAAUAUUCUGUGGAUGUGUACAUGUGUAAGUGUAUAUAUGCAUUUUUUUUCCAGCUAAUACCUCAGAUACGUGAUUGUUUAAUAUAUACCACAGUAUGUUUGCACAGAACAGGGCUUCCAUUAGUAAUGGGUAUCCUUAUUUCCAAAUUUGAAAAUCAGUCCACAGAAUUUCAUUAGUGUGAAUUCUCUCUGUUGAUUUUAAUAGAGAUUUCUUUUUUAAGGCCCACACUUCAAAAAUAACUUUAUCUUUCUAGCAAUCUGGAACUACAUUAGGGUAAGAAGUGUUUCUUGGAAUGUCUUAGUUCAUGAGUGUCUGAGAAUGACCAGCUGUGGAGAUAUUGAGUCACUGAGGAACAGAUGAUUCCUGGCAGGAGGUGGGCAGUUUUUAUCCACGUGUCUGUGAGAUUCUGCCCAUUCUAGUCAGCCUGCCACUCAUGAGCACUGUGCAAACAGUGACACUGAGGUAUUCCAGCCAUUACUUUUGGAGAAUUGUUUCUGAGUUGAAUGACUAUAAGGAUUAGAAGAAAAAAAUAUUUUGUAAUUCAUUUGCAUUAAGAAAUGCUUCUUACCUUUUUCUGUCUUUUUGGUUUUUAAAUUGCUUCGUAAGACUUUCUGUCCAUUUAAAGGUUAGUUUUAGUUUAUGUGUUUUUAAAAGCUACAGGAAAUUUUCACGGCGUGAUGGAAUUUUAAUGGAAGCCUUAUAUAAGCUAAAUGAAGUGAAAUGUAAAGGAGAUCUUACUUUGUCUAUAGUGCAUUCAAGAUUAUAUAAUUAGGUUUAAAAAUGCAAUGUCUGAUUUGUAAACUAAUGUUAUAUCAGACUUCUAUAAAAUAAAAUUUCCUGUGUGAGAACAUUUUUAAUGAAUGUUCUACUGAAUGAUUUAUGAUGAAUUUUUGUCUUUAA
RNAcentral lists this long non-coding RNA (2966 nucleotides) under Heterocephalus glaber (naked mole-rat). RNAcentral describes it as "lncRNA (ENSHGLG00000037810.1)". The record is from RNAcentral. Lineage: Eukaryota; Metazoa; Chordata; Mammalia; Rodentia; Bathyergidae.